GUCGGUCACAAAUUUGGGAAACAAAGAAAAUAAUGAAGAGGGAUAGGGUAUGCUGAACAAAAAAAUAAAAUCGGGUUAGGUGUGGCGUUGGGGUAGAAGAAAUGGGGGUAGAAAAUCAAUCCUUGAGGAUCUGGAAUAGAAAAGAUGAUUACUAAAAAUAAAAUUUCCAACACUUUUUUUUUAGAAUUUUUGUUUUUUUUCAAUACUUCAAAAUACAAUGGAAAACUUGAGAAUACAACUUGAAAUUUAUUUUUUAGAAUUUUUUUUACUUCACGAACCUAUUCCGGCU
Molecule: long non-coding RNA, 289 nt
Filed under: Gossypium raimondii (Peruvian cotton)
Lineage: Eukaryota; Viridiplantae; Streptophyta; Magnoliopsida; Malvales; Malvaceae
Description: long non-coding RNA (GRAI_LNC007418)
Source: RNAcentral